CUUCCUUUCAUAUCAAAAAUUCUUGAAACAGCAGUUGUCAAACAGCUAACAGAUCAUCUGCAGAGGAAUGGCUUAUCUGAAGAGUUUCAGUCAGGUUUCAUAGCUCAUCACAGCACAGAAACAGCUUUAGUGAAGGUUACAAAUGAUUUAAAUUCCCGGUUAUUGUUGACCGAGCACACCGCUCGUUGAGACCUCCACCGGCGGCGGGCGCAGCACCAAGACCAUUUAUCGCACGAAUCCACUUUUAUCGGGAUAAAGAACUCAUUCUGUGGCUGCGAAGAGACCGAGCGUUGGAAUACCAGGGCCACAAGGUGCUCAUCUUUCCGGAUUACACACCGGAGGUGAGGAAGCAACGACGUGAGUUCAGCGAGGUGUUGAAGACAUUGCGGGAGAAAAAAAUGGAACACAGUCUUCGGUAUCCAGCUAAACUUCAUGUGAAAUACAAUGGACAUCUGAAGGUCUUUGCUACAUCGGACAUGGCUGGUGAGGACAUGAGGAGGAAACAGUGGGAGCUGUGUGAGGCUACUAAAGGCAGUGGAUCCCUCAGCAGCUGGAUUACAAAGAGCACAGUCUCACAUCAACACAGCCCUGCCCUCCAGCACUAUCAGCAGCAGGAGCAGCAGCAACCCCUCAACAGCAACAUUGUACCCAUCAGACACUGAAAUAAGCGUGCUCAACUCUUCUUUUUGAUUCUCUCGAUCGAAUUGACAUCUCGGAUUUGGACAACUUUGUUUUCCGGAACUCACCGAGUUCUUCUCCACCAGUGCUCCAGCGAGCAACAGGCAAGAUUUGCUCUCCGCGGUCGGUCCUCGUGCUCCUGCCCAUCCAAGCACCAUCCCGAGCAGCGCUUCUUCUCCGCCAUCGGGCACACGAAAUGCACCACGCCUGUCUUUGAGAUCCAAUCAUGGGCAUCUCACAAGGAGGAACAGGAGGACCGGUUGGACCGCAAGGACAAGGAGCACAAGGCAAAAACGCAGACAAAACCAGCUCGCUUCUAUCGCUCUUCGAGCAGUAUGUCUGGUCGCUGAAUUAGUUCAGCUCAUCAUAUAAAAAGUUUUUUUUUUUUCAUUUUGCUUUUUCAAACAAACUGUGUUUUUUUUUAAAAAUAUAUUCUUGUUAUACAAUAAAAAUGGAUAACCAGGAACAAGAUAUUACAGACCCAUUUCUUGCUUUAGAAACAGCGUUAGCUAGGUUAAAUGAAAAUACUCAUCAUCAUUCACAGAAUACACCUCCACAAAACCAUGAGCAACCUGAUGUGAUCAAUAAUAAUAAUAAUGACCCUUUAGAAAUGCUUAAUUUAGCUCUUGCACGAUUAGCCCCUAGUGAAAGUGCCCCGCAAAAUAACUCUCAGAAUUUA
This is a long non-coding RNA of Oreochromis aureus, 1357 nucleotides long. The record is from Ensembl. Lineage: Eukaryota; Metazoa; Chordata; Actinopteri; Cichliformes; Cichlidae.